GGUUUUAUAGUUUAAUAAAAAUUUUAAAUUGCAAAUUUAAAGAUAGAGAUUUAAUCUUAAAACUU
Molecule: transfer RNA, 65 nt
Filed under: Elaphrus cupreus
Lineage: Eukaryota; Metazoa; Arthropoda; Insecta; Coleoptera; Carabidae
Description: tRNA-Cys
Source: RNAcentral